AACGUAGGACGCAAGCGUUAUCCGGAGUUACUGGGCGUAAAGGGCAGGCAGGCGGGUCGAUAAGUCGGAUGUGAAAUCUCCCUGGCUUAACCGGGAGAGUGCAUUUGAGACUGUCAACCUGGAGGGCAGCAGAGGAGCGUGGAAUUCCGGGUGGAGUGGUGAAAUGCGUAGAGAUCCGGAGGAACACCAGUGGCGAAGGCGACACGCUGGGCCGUACCUGACACUGAUGCGCGACAGCAUGGGGAGCAAACAGG
RNAcentral lists this ribosomal RNA (254 nucleotides) under uncultured bacterium. RNAcentral describes it as "partial 16S ribosomal RNA". It matches the Rfam family "Bacterial small subunit ribosomal RNA", at positions 524 to 776 of the family's 1533-position model. The record is from RNAcentral.